RNAcentral lists this ribosomal RNA (403 nucleotides) under Verrucomicrobiota bacterium. RNAcentral describes it as "Verrucomicrobia bacterium partial 16S ribosomal RNA". It matches the Rfam family "Bacterial small subunit ribosomal RNA", at positions 355 to 776 of the family's 1533-position model. Lineage: Bacteria; Pseudomonadati; Verrucomicrobiota. The record is from RNAcentral.
UGGGGAAUAUUGCACAAUGGAGGGAACUCUGAUGCAGCGACGCCGCGUGAACGAAGAAGGCUUUCGAGUCGUAAAGUUCUUUUAUAUGGGAAGAUAAUGACGGUACCAUAAGAAAAAGCCCCGGCUAACUACGUGCCAGCAGCCGCGGUAAUACGUAGGGGGCUAGCGUUGUCCGGAAUCACUGGGCGUAAAGGGUUCGCAGGCGGAAAUGCAAGUCAGGUGUAAAAGGCAGUAGCUUAACUACUGUAAGCAUUUGAAACUGCAUAUCUUGAGAAGAGUAGAGGUAAGUGGAAUUUUUAGUGUAGCGGUGAAAUGCGUAGAUAUUAAAAAGAAUACCGGUGGCGAAAGCGGCUUUUUGGCCUGCAACUGACACUGAGGCGCGAAAGCGUGGGGAGCAAACAGG